AUUAGCUGACGUUGUUUACGCGCUAGCGGUCGGUGCAACAGGAGGAUAGGAAAGGUUUACCUUUAGAGAGACACCUGCUAUUCUUCAACCCUGAACCUCACCAUUUUCAGCCAUCAAGGAAAUCGUGCAGGCAGGAGCAAGAAACAACGCAGCACACGGAUUUGCUUUGCAUUUCUCAUCGCACGUGCCAGGAAACUGCUAAAUCUUGGACUUAAAUUAUUAUAACUGAAACUCGUUUUACACCAGUGGAUACCCUUUUAUGCUUUGAUCUUAUCCGUUGGAUUCGCCCAUCAUGGUGCAGAAAGAGGUGCAAGCCAUAGCUCCAAGAGCAUCACUUAUAAGUCUGCUGUGUUUUACCUUGACACUUCAGAAAUAUUGUUUAGCAGACUCAGUUGAGUGGAGUGACGUAAAUACAUACUUUGUGGACAGACAGCAAGGGGAUUCGACCA
Molecule: long non-coding RNA, 449 nt
Organism: Asterias rubens (European starfish)
Lineage: Eukaryota; Metazoa; Echinodermata; Asteroidea; Forcipulatida; Asteriidae
Exons: 3
Source: RefSeq, a predicted model, not a curated record